GGCGUUUCCUUCAAGGCUGCCCACCAGAAGGACCUGCCCGAGAGGGUAGAGGGCAUAGGGUCCAAGAUCAAGAUAAGGCAGCUCCAGCCCCUGGAAGGCCAGAGACUUGCCAGUGUCCCACUAGCGGGCUCUUCGCAAGAAUCCCCCCGGGCCCGCCGCACCCAGGCGGCGGCCGGCAGAGGGCGCUGCUCGGGCAUGGCGGAGGAGCGGCCGGGGGCCUGGUUCGGCUUCGGUUUCUGCGGCUUCGGGCAGGAGCUGGGCUCCGGACGCGGGCGCCAGGUGCACAGCCCCAGUCCGCUGCGGGCGGGCGUCGACAUCUGCCGCGUGAGCGCGAGCUGGAGCUACACCGCCUUCGUGACCCGUGAGCACUCCCCGCCCCGUCCCCACUUAUUCCAGCCGCGCUCCCCAGUCGCCUCCCCGCACCGCUGUGGCCAGUCCAGUUUGUCUCCCCCGUUCAGGCCGCCAGCCCCACAUUCUGGGUUGGUUCCCAAUUCGACCCCUUCCCAGGAACACCCCGCUCCCCACACCCCCGCCGCCUCCAUUCUGGCCACCCUGCUCCAAUCCGCCCCGCAGGUGGAGGCCGCUUGGAGCUGUCGGGCUCAGCCAGCGGCGCGGCGGGCCGCUGCAAGGACGCGUGGGCCUCGGAGGGGCUCCUCGCGGUGCUGCGCGCCGGGCCGGGGCCGGGGCCGGGGCCGGAGGCGUUACUGCAGGUCUGGGCGGCCGAAUCGGCGCUGCGUGGGGAGCCAUUGUGGGCCCAGAAUGUGGUGCCCGAGGCCGAAGGGGAAGACGAUCCGGCCGGUGAGGCCCAGGCUGGGAGGCUACCCCUGCUGCCCUGCGCCCGUGCCUACGUGAGCCCGCGGGCGCCCUUCUACCGGCCUCUGGCUCCGGAGCUGCGGGCACGCCAGCUGGAGCUGGGCGCCGAGCACGCGUUGCUGCUGGACGCUGCUGGACAGGUGUUCUCCUGGGGCGGGGGCAGGCAUGGACAGCUGGGCCAUGGGACCCUGGAGGCAGAGCUGGAGCCACGGCUGUUGGAGGCGUUGCAGGGCCUAGUCAUGGCUGAGGUGGCCGCGGGGGGCUGGCAUUCUGUGUGUGUGAGUGAGACUGGGGAUAUUUAUAUCUGGGGCUGGAAUGAAUCAGGGCAGCUGGCCCUGCCCACCAGGAACCUGGCAGAGGAUGGAGAGACUGUCGCAAGGGAAGCCACAGAACUGAAUGAAGAUGGUUCUCAGGUGAAGAGAACGGGUGGGGCUGAGGAUGGAGCCCCUGCCCCCUUCAUAGCUGUCCAGCCCUUCCCGGCAUUACUGGAUCUCCCCAUGGGCUCAGAUGCAGUCAAGGCCAGCUGUGGAUCCCGGCACACAGCUGUGGUGACACGAACAGGGGAGCUCUACACCUGGGGCUGGGGUAAAUAUGGACAGCUGGGCCACGAGGACACCACCAGCUUGGAUCGGCCUCGCCGUGUGGAAUACUUUGUAGACAAGCAACUCCAAGUAAAGGCUGUCACCUGUGGGCCGUGGAACACCUACGUGUAUGCUGUGGAGAAAGGGAAGAGCUGACAUGUGUACGUAUAUGUAUAUACAACACCUGUGAGACCCCCAUUCAGGUCAAGGAAAACCAUUGCCUGCACCCCAAGGGCCCCAUAUUUGCCCCUCCCCAUCACAGUCCUGCCCUUCACCCUCAAGCACGGUCCUAAACUUGUCUGCACUUUAGAAACACCUGGAGAGCAUUGAAAACUCUGCUGCCUAAGGUCAGCAUCAAUCAAAACAAUGAAAUCAAUGAAACAAUGAAACCAGAGCCUCUAGGUGUGUGGCCUGGAUAGUGGUAGAUUCAAAGCUCCACCCACCUCAUCCCAGGUACAUUUGAUGUGCAGCUGAGAUUGGGGCACAUUCCGGGUCAUCGUCUUCUGUCAGUCAUUUCCCUGCUUUCGUUUGAAUUUUACCAUUCUUGUAUGCAGCCUUAUAUGACAUAGUUGUGUUUGCUUUUGAGUGUUAGAUAAAUGGAAUCCUGUGUAUGUGCUUUUGUGUCGUUUUUGUCACUCAGCAUUGUAUGAUCCAUCCUUGUUGGGUCCUGGAGUUCAUUUUUAAUGCUAUAUGGUGUUCUGUUGUAUGAAUAAUACCUCAAGUGAUACA
RNAcentral lists this small RNA (2123 nucleotides) under Pan troglodytes (chimpanzee). RNAcentral's name for it is "retained intron". Lineage: Eukaryota; Metazoa; Chordata; Mammalia; Primates; Hominidae. The record is from RNAcentral.